CAGAUUGGCGGAGUUGUUGUGGGAUCUGGCUUUGGGCUACCUGUGAAUGCAUGGCGCGAGUACUGGGUCCAGUGAGUGGAAACGAGGCAAAAUUCAAAUUCAAAAGAGAACUAGGUUGGAUCAGUUUUUGUGAGCUUUAUAGCGGGUUUCAGCUGGGUUUUUGCGAAACUUUCUUUUCAACAGCUAUAGAAACUGGCCUUUACCCAUGCUCAAGGAGAAUUUCAGUCGAAAUGAAAUUAAAUAACACCAAGGGACUUUUGCCACAAAAGAGAGAGAAGCAAAGCCAGGAUGCAACAUGAUGAUGGGUUAUCAAGCUGGUGAUUUGAAGACCUUGGGGUCUUUAUAUCAACAACUAGAUGCUUCAAUUGUAGACUCCGGGGUUGUCAGUAAGCAAAGCACCAGGAGACAUUAUAGAGGCUCUCCAUGGCUGGAUCACUGGAAAACCUGAGUAGUACUGUAGUAUCUAGAGUUUCAUGGCAUUUCCUACAGCCCUUCUUGCCAUGCAUCUACAGUAAACACCCACAAUAAGAACCUACUUUUUUUCUGAGUUACUAUAGCCUAAACAUGUUCUUAUAUGAGAGGUGCACAGUGAUAUUUUAGGCUAUUUACUAUAGGCUCUUCCUCUUAUAGUAGAUUCUUAUUUUUAUAUGAAGUUAUGGUAACAUUGUCUGGCAGACUUAUUGAUGUAGAUUGUAAAAAAAGACCAUCCUCAUCUCUAAAAUUGUGAACCAAAUGCUUGGCUUAGAGGUUCUUAUUUGAACAUUUUAGGCCAACAGGUUCUGAUACACAGGUGCUCCUUGCAGUUGUAAAAGUUCAAUAUGUUCUAUUUAAAAAAGAUCUUUCUUUUUGGACCCGCA
Molecule: long non-coding RNA, 857 nt
Organism: Nematostella vectensis (starlet sea anemone)
Lineage: Eukaryota; Metazoa; Cnidaria; Anthozoa; Actiniaria; Edwardsiidae
Exons: 2
Source: RefSeq, a predicted model, not a curated record